UACGAAGGGGGCUAGCGUUGUUCGGAAUUACUGGGCGUAAAGGGCGCGUAGGCGGCCGUUUAAGUUAGGUGUGAAAGUCCUGGGCUCAACCUGGGGACUGCACUUAAUACUGGAUGGCUUGAAUUCGGGAGAGGAUAGCGGAAUUCCCAGUGUAGAGGUGAAAUUCGUAGAUAUUGGGAAGAACACCGAUGGCGAAGGCAGCCAUCUGGACCGACACUGACGCUGAGGCGCGAAAGCGUGGGGAGCAAACAGG
Molecule: ribosomal RNA, 253 nt
Filed under: uncultured bacterium
Lineage: Bacteria
Description: partial 16S ribosomal RNA
Rfam family: Bacterial small subunit ribosomal RNA
Source: RNAcentral